AGACUCCUACGGGAGGCAGCAGUAGGGAAUCUUCCGCAAUGGACGAAAGUCUGACGGAGCAACGCCGCGUGAGUGAUGAAGGCUUUCGGGUCGUAAAACUCUGUUGUUAGGGAAGAACAAGUGCUAGUUGAAUAAGCUGGCACCUUGACGGUACCUAACCAGAAAGCCACGGCUAACUACGUGCCAGCAGCCGCGGUAAUACGUAGGUGGCAAGCGUUAUCCGGAAUUACU
RNAcentral lists this ribosomal RNA (231 nucleotides) under bacterium enrichment culture. Its description in RNAcentral is "partial 16S ribosomal RNA". It matches the Rfam family "Bacterial small subunit ribosomal RNA", at positions 333 to 555 of the family's 1533-position model. The record is from RNAcentral.